GGCCUAACACAUGCAAGUCGAGCGGAAACGACACUAACAAUCCUUCGGGUGCGUUAAUGGGCGUCGAGCGGCGGACGGGUGAGUAAUGCCUAGGAAAUUGCCUUGAUGUGGGGGAUAACCAUUGGAAACGAUGGCUAAUACCGCAUAAUGCCUACGGGCCAAAGAGGGGGACCUUCGGGCCUCUCGCGUCAAGAUAUGCCUAGGUGGGAUUAGCUAGUUGGUGAGGUAAUGGCUCACCAAGGCGACGAUCCCUAGCUGGUCUGAGAGGAUGAUCAGCCACACUGGAACUGAGACACGGUCCAGACUCCUACGGGAGGCAGCAGUGGGGAAUAUUGCACAAUGGGCGAAAGCCUGAUGCAGCCAUGCCGCGUGUAUGAAGAAGGCCUUCGGGUUGUAAAGUACUUUCAGUUGUGAGGAAGGGGGUAGCGUUAAUAGCGCUAUCUCUUGACGUUAGCAACAGAAGAAGCACCGGCUAACUCCGUGCCAGCAGCCGCGGUAAUACGGAGGGUGCGAGCGUUAAUCGGAAUUACUGGGCGUAAAGCGCAUGCAGGUGGUUCAUUAAGUCAGAUGUGAAAGCCCGGGGCUCAACCUCGGAACUGCAUUUGAAACUGGUGAACUAGAGUACUGUAGAGGGGGGUAGAAUUUCAGGUGUAGCGGUGAAAUGCGUAGAGAUCUGAAGGAAUACCAGUGGCGAAGGCGGCCCCCUGGACAGAUACUGACACUCAGAUGCGAAAGCGUGGGGAGCAA
RNAcentral lists this ribosomal RNA (747 nucleotides) under Vibrio sp. UCH-56. RNAcentral's name for it is "bacterial SSU rRNA". It matches the Rfam family "Bacterial small subunit ribosomal RNA", at positions 45 to 771 of the family's 1533-position model. The record is from RNAcentral. Lineage: Bacteria; Pseudomonadati; Pseudomonadota; Gammaproteobacteria; Vibrionales; Vibrionaceae.